UUUCAAUAAAAUGUCACUGCAACAUCUGUUGAUAGACGUACUAGCUGGUAAAUUCACCCUGGCUAUCUACUCCGAUUUCAGACCCCGGGAAAGAAAAGCUCUGGAAGAAAAAGCACCAAAUACAGACUGUUGUAUAGCAAGCAUUGGAUCCUAUACCACAUACUAAAGAUUCCCAUAAGGUCUCAGACUCCAGGAUGGGAAAAUGUGUAACAAGAAAGAAACAGAUGAAGACACAGAAGGGGACCAUGAUACCCUAUGCUGUAUUUUAAAUAGUUAAUCUCUUGUCAACUUCUAUUCUGACUUGUAAUGUUAAAAAGAGGAGAAAAAGAACCCC
Molecule: long non-coding RNA, 334 nt
Filed under: Salmo salar (Atlantic salmon)
Lineage: Eukaryota; Metazoa; Chordata; Actinopteri; Salmoniformes; Salmonidae
Description: lncRNA (ENSSSAG00000088025.1, ENSSSAG00075011977.1)
Source: RNAcentral